CGCGGCGUGGAGCAGUGGCAGCUCGUCGGGCUCAUAACCCGAAGGUCAGAGGUUCGAAUCCUUUCGCCGCUACCA
Molecule: transfer RNA, 75 nt
Filed under: Chloroflexia bacterium
Lineage: Bacteria; Bacillati; Chloroflexota; Chloroflexia
Also listed under: 1 other name
Description: tRNA-Met
Rfam family: tRNA
About the family: Transfer RNA (tRNA) molecules are approximately 80 nucleotides in length. Their secondary structure includes four short double-helical elements and three loops (D, anti-codon, and T loops).
Source: RNAcentral